This 226-nucleotide small RNA is filed under the name Drosophila erecta. Its description in RNAcentral is "GG26524". The record is from RNAcentral. Lineage: Eukaryota; Metazoa; Arthropoda; Insecta; Diptera; Drosophilidae.
CACAUAUAUACAGGCAGGAUGCGGCACGGGUGCCCGUGUGUAUGUGAGUGGGCAAACAAAAUGGGAAAUUCUCUUGUUGACAUGCCAUCAUCAUCGUCAUCAUCAUGGAUGUUGAAUGCUCCUUGGACUGCUGGAUCUGGAUGCCAUGAAUACGUUUAAAGUGCUGUGAAAAUUUUUCGGCUCCUUGUUUGAUUUUGUCAACUGCCAUUCCACCAUUUCAUCAGUC